Small nucleolar RNA from Psammomys obesus (fat sand rat), 131 nucleotides. RefSeq annotates it as small nucleolar RNA SNORA17. The transcript has a single exon. NCBI's taxonomy places the organism in Eukaryota, Metazoa, Chordata, Mammalia, Rodentia, Muridae. The record is from RefSeq and is a predicted model, not a curated record.
GCUUCCCCUGGAGGCAGUGCAGGUGUGGCUGCUGUGUCACACAUGCACCAGCAGGUGGCAGAGAGGAACGAGGCAGUGUCCACACUGGGUGUGCUGACCUGUCACAUCUGAAUGAUUAGCAGCUGAACAUU